Molecule: ribosomal RNA, 481 nt
Filed under: Vibrio sp. B4C
Lineage: Bacteria; Pseudomonadati; Pseudomonadota; Gammaproteobacteria; Vibrionales; Vibrionaceae
Description: bacterial SSU rRNA
Rfam family: Bacterial small subunit ribosomal RNA
Source: RNAcentral
GGUAGUCCACGCGGUAAACGAUGUCUACUUGGAGGUUGUGGCCUUGAGCCGUGGCUUUCGGAGCUAACGCGUUAAGUAGACCGCCUGGGGAGUACGGUCGGCAAGAUUAAAACUCAAAUGAAUUGACGGGGGCCCGCACAAGCGGUGGAGCAUGUGGUUUAAUUCGAUGCAACGCGAAGAACCUUACCUACUCUUGACAUCCAGAGAAGCCAGCGGAGACGCAGGUGUGCCUUCGGGANCUCUGAGACAGGUGCUGCAUGGCUGUCGUCAGCUCGUGUUGUGAAAUGUUGGGUUAAGUCCCGCAACGAGCGCAACCCUUAUCCUUGUUUGCCAGCGAGUAAUGUCGGGAACUCCAGGGAGACUGCCGGUGAUAAACCGGAGGAAGGUGGGGACGACGUCAAGUCAUCAUGGCCCUUACGAGUAGGGCUACACACGUGCUACAAUGGCGCAUACAGAGGGCAGCAAGCUAGCGAUAGUGAGC